RNAcentral lists this ribosomal RNA (372 nucleotides) under uncultured Glomeromycotina. Its description in RNAcentral is "eukaryotic LSU rRNA". The record is from RNAcentral. Lineage: Eukaryota; Fungi; Glomeromycota.
UUGAAAGGGAAACGAUUGAAGUCAGCCGUACCUGCGGGUAAUCAGCCUUUUGGGCAUGAUUCUGUGGAGCGUGAGGAGUUAAACGCCUUCAUGCCUGCAUAUUCGUGUACUUUGGGUGUACUUGCCUGUGUGGUUAGUUAACAUCAAUUUUGGUUAUCAUAAAAUGGCUGGAGGAAUGUAGCUUCGAUUUCGAUUGAAGUGUUAUAGACUUCGGCAGAUGUGAUGAUCGGGAUUGAGGAUUGCAACGGAUACCCUUCGGGGCUACCUGUCUGAUCUCUGAUCGUUGCUCUGGUGCCGAAAGCGUGCUUACGGUUAUCAAAGUCGAUGGUCAAUAGGUUAGAAUGGGUUAAAUUCGUUAAGGAUGUUGACGUA